RNAcentral lists this unclassified non-coding RNA (209 nucleotides) under Paraglomus occultum. Its description in RNAcentral is "partial internal transcribed spacer region". The stretch from base 1 to 46 matches the Rfam family "Eukaryotic small subunit ribosomal RNA", at positions 1786 to 1831 of the family's 1831-position model. The record is from RNAcentral. Lineage: Eukaryota; Fungi; Glomeromycota; Glomeromycetes; Paraglomerales; Paraglomeraceae.
AAGUCGUAACAAGGUUUCCGUAGGUGAACCUGCGGAAGGAUCAUUAAAAAAGAAUUUAAUGAAUGGUCGGAGGGGAACAUUUUUUGUUCCCCUUUUGGCUUUAUUCAACCAACCCGCUCUUGUAUUUUGUAUCAAACAAAAAAUUUUUUUAAAACUAAUAAAAAUAGUAAUGUAAAAAAAAACUUUCAACAACGGAUCUCUUGGCUCUC